RNAcentral lists this long non-coding RNA (3518 nucleotides) under Sus scrofa (pig). RNAcentral describes it as "lncRNA (ENSSSCG00025059585.1)". The record is from RNAcentral. Lineage: Eukaryota; Metazoa; Chordata; Mammalia; Artiodactyla; Suidae.
UUUUUUUUUUUUUUUUUUUUUUUUUUUGUCUGUGUCCUUUUAGGGCCGCAUCCACGGCAUAUGGAGGUUCCCAAGCUAGGGAUCUAAUCAGAGCUGUUGCUGCUGGCCUAUGCUAGAGCCACAGCAACCAGAUCUGAGCCAUGUCUGCAACCUACACCACAGCUCACGGCAACCCACUUAACCCACUGAGCAAGGUCAGGGAUUGAACCCACAAUCUCGUGGUUCCUAGUUGGAUUCGUUUCUGCUGUGCCACGACAGGAACUCCCCAUAACACCUUUUUGAUGAGAGAUUUUCCUUUAGACUAUUGGGUUCUUGGAUGGAUUUCUACUCCCAGCUUGCAGCAUUCACAUAGAGGUAAUCAGUUAAAAGAUGUUUGAUAAAGAUGUUGAUCUGAAGGCAGAGAACACCUAGAACAUGAGGACCCAGACUAGGAAAUUGGGUUUUCUGAAGGUUUCCAAGCUCCAGUUUCUUGAGCUCAGGGCUCAGUUACUAAUUUCCUGUAUCCACCUGUGCCUGGGUUGGGCCAUGACCCAGGUCUUAAGACCUGGCCUGGCUGAACCUGGCCCAGGCUGUGGCCCCUCGUGUUCCACUGCAGGGUCCCCAGCUUCCCCAGCCUCCCGUUUCUGUCUGUCAGCAACACUCCCGUUGCACCGGCUCCUCCAAAUGUCUUUUAUGUUAUGUCCAAAAACAAUUCCUCAUCUGAGCCAAGGAAUGUAUUGAUUCUGGGUAAGUAAGUAACUAUUAAUUUCAUGAUUUUAGCUGUAAUGUACCUUUGGGGAUAAGGAUAGAUUUCUUAGAGUAUAGCUUCUCUGAUGUUUUGCAGCUCUUUGGUAGGCUAUUUUAAAUAUUUACAAGGACACACCAGGUUGAGAGAGCAGUAGCACAGAGUGGUGGAAAGGGAACCAUAUUAGAAACUGGAAGGGAUUCUACUUCUGCUUAGCUAAGUGACUUGGGUAAAUCACCCCCAUUUCUCCCAGAAAAUAAGAGGGCUGGAAUAAUCCUUUAGCAUAUUUCUUGCAUGAACUUUAAGAAGGCUCUUGCUAUCAGAACAGAAAAAAGACAUUAACUAACACAAGCCAAAGUCUUCACCAAUCCAGAUUUUUCUAAGUUGGAAUUACUCAUUCCAUAAAAGCAAUUAACAGUCUUGGGCAUGUGAAUAAUAUUUGAAUGAUUAAAGAAUGAGAGGGGAAAAAAAAGCAAUUUACUUCCUAAGGUUUUUUUUAUCGUUAUUUCCAACACUUUUUUUUCCCACUGUGUAACAUGGGGACCCAGUUACGCAUACAUGUGUACAUAAUUUUUUCUCCUAUUGUCGUGCGGUAAGUAUCUCGACACCUAAAUAUUUCUUGAAUCUGUCAUUUCUAAAUCCCUGCUGCCGCUGCCCUACUGCAGCCACCCCUAUGUUUUCCUGCGCUGCCGACCAGUCUUUUGUGGGGGUCCCCUUGCACUCGUACUCCAUGUGACCAUCCAAGUGCCAGAACCUGUCCAUCUGCCUUCAGCUCACUUAUUUCUCAAUACACUGAACAUGCUAUUCAACAUCUCUCCACCCCCCAGUCCUCUUCCUGUGCUCCUGUUGCAGUGCUGAGUUACCUAGCACAGGUCUGUUGGGAACCCUUUCGAGUCAGGCCCCAACUAGGGGCACAGGGUUGUUCCAGCCAACAGAACCAGACGGAGCGUGGUUCAGAAGAAAAGCAAAGUUCUAUUCUCUGCUCAAAGAACAGAGAGGGCGAAGCUCCAGGGCGAAAGCGAGCUCCCGGCUGGGCUAUGGGCGGGGCUGCUUUGUAGGGAUUCGUCCGCGGGGCGGGGGCGGGGCUCGAGGGCGUGGUUCUCCCAGUCCCGGCAGAUCCAGUGCGGGAUUGGCCUUGGCACCUGGCCCCGCCUGAAACGAGGCUGAGCACAAAGGAAAAGAAAAGGUUAGACUUUAUUUUAUUACCCAGAAUCUAUUUUUAUUUCCUGGGAAUUGUUACUGGCCUUUGCAGGGGUCAUUUGGGUUGACUUUGACUCCUCCUUGCUCAUCCCAGCAUUUUCUCUAAUUAAUCAUCAGUCUACUUAAUUCUCUCCAUCCUUAGUCUCUUUAAAACGUGUCCCCCUCUCUUGACCACUGUUGCUGCCUUUAUUAAAGCCACCAUAGUGUUGCCCAGGUAUGAGUGUAACAGUCUCUGAACUGGGGGCCUCCGCCUUUAGUCUUUGCCCCCUUUUCCCUGCUAGAAGAUGCGGACAGGUGGUCUCUACCUAGAAGAGAAGUUUAUCCAAUAAGCUGUAGCCAGUCAAUAAUUUCCUUUCUUUGCUUCUGCCUUUUCUUUCUGAAAGUCUCUGCCCAGUUCCUGUUGGUGGAACAUGCCUGACCACUUCUGGUUUGAUUCUGCCUGAUUAGAACUGAUGUUUUGCUCACAUAAACUCUCAGCAUUUAACACACCUCAGACCAUCUUUUAACAGUGGCAAACCAGUGUUCCCGGCUCGGCUCUGGCCGCUCUGCUCUAGGAGCCUCAUUCUCCUGUCCCUGCUGGCCUUACGUGUGGUUUCCACCCACAAUGCCCAGUUCCAAAUACGGUUGUUUUUUUCUUUUUAAGGCCACACCUGCGGCAUAUAUAUGGAAGUUCCUUGGCUACGAGUCCACUUGGAGCUGCCGCUGCUAGCCUACACCACAGCCACAACACCACCAGAUCCUUAACCCACUGAACAAGGCCAGGGAUGGAACUCACAUCCGCAUGGAUACUACUUAGGUUCUUAACUUGCUGAGCCAUAAAGAGAACUCCCCAAAUGCAAAUUUUACAAUCAUGUAUUUCAGGUCUCCUCUGUACCAGGGCUUGCUUCCUAUACUUCCUUCAGAACUCAGCGGAAGCAUAGCAUCUCUCAGGCUCCUCUCUGACCACCCGCCCCUCCUCCCAUCGCUGCUCCUGGUCACCCCUCACCAUGCUCUGCUCCCAGCUCCAUCCUUGCACUCGCAUCCCGAUGAUAUAAUUACCACAUAUUUGUCUCUUUCCCUGACUGGGUUGGGUGCUACUGAAGGCAGGGACUCUUGGGGGGCGGGGGGACUGGUUGCUGGUAGGGUUGUGGGACUGCCAGAAAUUCUCUACGGAAGGAGUUGAGAGUUGGGAGAGGGGGUUGGGGGAUGGGAUGAGGCUGAGCGGUGGCCAGACUCUGAAAGCUUUCCAAGCUGUGGCCCAUUUCUGACUGAUUUUUCCUUUUAAUAGGCGUUGUUUGGCUAUGCUUUUCCAGACAAAAAUGAAGCAGAUAAUAAAUGCAAUGUUUUUUGUCUUUCUGUCAGAGAAGCAAAGAAAAAAAAUAAUUUGUCUCUUCAUUUGAGGGAAAAAAAAAAAUCAGCUAACAAAGGGAGUGGUUGUAAACAAUGGAAUUAAUUGCUUCUCCUAGGACUAUUAUUUGGUGUCUAUUUAAGGCUACUAGAUUUUAUUUUAAUUACUCAAUGGUGUAUCCAAUUUGCAUAUAUUUGCAUAUGUCUCUGUGAUGUCUUUAAGAAAUCUAAGGUAACUUCAGCUGACUCCAAGUCUUACCUUUAGAGC